UUUUUUUUUUUUAAGUAGUUCCUAUUUUCUAUUCCCCUCCCAGAAAAUUGCAUGAAACGAGGCUUCUGUAAUCAAUAUCCCAACAUUCUGCGAUGGCAGCGUUCCCCCCAGACAGAUUAUGUGUGAUCCUCCUGCCUCUAGGCGGGAGAAAGUACCCUCUUCUCUCAUAUUCCUCCACCAUGUCUUUCCCCGGGUCCCCUCAAACUCCUCUCAAACACAAAGCAUUCGCAUAAGGCCCAGUCAUUGUCAUUGGAAGCUGUGGAACCCUUUUAGGAUGGUUGCCCCAGUAGAGUUAGCUGACGAGAAGCAUCUUAAUUUAAAUGCAUGUCUUCAAUGCUCAUAAAAGUGUUAAAUGGAAUUCGUGUGAUGAAUCUGUGCUGGCCAUGGACGAAUAUGAAUGUCGUGUUUGAAUUCUUGAUCUCUCACGAGCUAGUGUCUUACGGUCUUGAUCCCUCCGGUGUGUAAUUCCCUUUCCAACACAUUUACCAAAUUGCUCAAGCCUGGCUCUUCCACCGGGCUUUGGGCCUGCAUCUUCUUGCAUCUAAUGAAAAACAAAAAGCUAACAUCUUUAUGUACUGUAACUGCUCAGAGCUUUAAAAGUAUCUUUAACAAUUGUCUUAAAACCAGAGAAUCUUAAGGUCUAACUGUGGAAUAUAAAUAGCUGAAAACUAAUGUACUGUACAUAAAUUCCAGAGGACUCUGCUUAAACAAAGCAGUAUAUAAUAACUUUAUUGCAUAUAGAUUUAGUUUUGUAACUUAGCUUUAUUUUUCUUUUCCUGGGAAUGGAAUAACUAUGUCACUUCCAGAUAUCCACAUAAAUGCUCCUUGUGGCCUUUUUUAUAACUAAGGGGGUAGAAGUAGUUUUAUUCAACAUCGAAACUUAAGAUGGGCCUGUAUGAGAUAGGAAAAACCAACAGGUUUGUCUGAAGGACCCCAGGUAAAAUGUUAAUCUCCCAGCCCACCUCAACCCAGAGGCUACUCUUGACUUAGCUCUAUCCUGAAACGGCUCUGUCACGUCCAACUGGGAAUUACAGAAACCAAAAAGAGCAUCCCUUUGGGCUUGGACCACUUACAGUGUGCUAAGGCCUACUCUGUCUUAGGAAGUGGCAGUUCUUGACUCGCCACCUUUCAUCGGUGCCCGAUUGAUCCUCUGGCAAACCGAUGAUGGUGCGGGAGACUUUCCAUGAAAUCAGUCAGGAACGAGUCAAUCAGCCUUUGGGUCUUCAGUUACGGGGACUUGGGGCUGAGGGGAUAUAAAGAACCCUGGGCUGUCCAGCCUUAAUAGACUCCUCUUACAUUUUUGUCCUGUAGCACGCUGCCUGCCAAAGUAGUCCUGGCAGCUGGGCCAUCUCUGUAGGAUCGCAAAAAAAAAAAAAAAAAAAAAAAAAAAAAAAAAAAAAAAAAAGGAAAAAAAAAUUGAAAAAAAAUAGAAAAAAUAAAAAAAAUAAAAAAAAUAAAAAAAAAAAGAAGGAAAGAGGAAAAACAGAGCUGGUGGUUUGAUUAUUUCUGCCGUGAUGUUUACAAGAUGGCAACCACCAAAGCCAAAUGAGUAACCUAUCUAUGAACAACAGUAGUUUCUCAGGGUCACUGUCCUUGAACCCAACAGUCCCUUAAGAGCGUCACUGCCCACCAAAGGUCAAUGUCAAGGGAGGAAGAGGGAGGAGGGGUAGAACUGUAGGGGCCGCUCCAAACUCACUUCAGUAGAAACUAUUGGUGCUUGCCUCUCACUAGGUUAAACUCAAGAUCUGACCAAACCGAGUGAUAGGGAUCCUGGUGGGAGGAGGGAGGGCACAUCUCCAGGAAAAAAAAAAAAAAAAAAAAAAAAGU
This 1827-nucleotide long non-coding RNA is filed under the name Canis lupus familiaris (dog). RNAcentral's name for it is "lncRNA (ENSCAFG00845015771.1)". Lineage: Eukaryota; Metazoa; Chordata; Mammalia; Carnivora; Canidae. The record is from RNAcentral.